UCUGCAUAGUGGAGUUCAGAGUAGGUCCGAGGAAAGUUGAAGAAAUGCAGCACAAAUGUGGCGGCCUGCCCACGUGUCAAACAGGUCCUGAAGACCGGUCACCUGCUCGAGCGCCUCAGCAGGGCCAACAGGAUUGGGGGUGCGGGUCGCCAGCUCUGGCAAAAGAUACCAAUUCCAGCACCAACAGGCACAUCUUAGAACACACAGCGAUGACUCAGCAACCGUGGGUGGCUCAUUAUUUCUUUCACCCACGAGAGUCGACUGGCUGGUUUCUUUGGUAACGUACAAAACUAAAUUAUAGCACAUUAAAACACAAUUAGAUAUAAGGCAAUACAACUGAACAACAUUGUUUGUUGAAUUGGUUGCCAUUAUCCUUUUUCUUUUCUUUUACUUGUUGAGAUACAUGAGAUUUUGCAGAUGCAGGCAGAUGAUCUUUGAAGCCAAGUGUCACCAUAGAUCGAAUCUUAUCUUGUUCAGUUUUAAUUUGUUCGUAUAGCUGUUUGUGUUAUAUGGUUUAUGUCCACAUACCUCCAAAACUCAUAUCAUGCACGUCAUCAGUUGUACAACAUUUUGAAAGCUAAUAGGCUGAAUGAAAACCGGAUAUAAAAAAUCUCUCUUGAAAACGAACAUGCUUCUUGACAUGGCUGAAAGCUCAGUUGCUAUUUGUGCUUCAGAGGUUUUUAUUUAAUCAUUCUGGGCCCACAUGGUAAUCAUGCACAGAUCCCAUCUGUGGGCUGACUUCAACAUAUUAGACAAAAACAAAUAGCCGGCGGCUUCAGUUCCUUUCCAUCCUCUCCCUCCAGCCUCACAUUUGCAAGUCCUGCAUGUCAGAAUGUGGGUUGCCAGAGCUUCACUAUCUGCUCUCACAAUCCCACAAGCUGCAGAGGACAGAGGACUGAACCCAGCUGGCAACUGAAGAAAGUUUCUCUCAUUACAUGUAAAAACUUUCACCCAGAUUUUCACUCUAAAUACUAAUACUUCAUAAUAUUAUUAUUACUCUCAUUUAUAUAAUGCCACAUUAUCAGUUAUCAUCUAACUGAAUUUGAGACCUAAUGUUGUGACACUGAUUCCAAGCAGAAAUCCCAUGGUCUCUAUAGGAUUAUAAUCUAUGGUCUGGUCACUCCAACAGGAUUUAGAUAGUUAAUAAAAGAUGAUCACAUAAAUCCACAGAUCCGGGGCCUUAUUGGAUUAUCAUCAUCAUGUGUGACAUGUCUGCUCUAUCGAAUUAAUUUGACUUUUCUAACAUGCUUCAAUGUGGAAUUUGAGACGCAAAAAUACUGACAACAGUAGAUGUUUAGUGUAGGCAGAGCUUAUCUUGAAUCGAGCUCUUGAAUUUACUAUGUGGACAACUGUAGUUGCAGAAAAUCUUGUGUACUCAAUAAGAUAAAUUGAACAGAUUUCAUGGUGCAAAUAUAUUCAUAAGCUAUAAUCUUCUCACAGUAAAUCAGAUGCCCAGUCUGCAAAGUGAACAUUAGAUCUGAUAUUCAUUGGUUGUGAGAGGUAUGUCAGCAUAGCUUUUUUUGAAACAUCUGCUUGAAGUGCUUGGUGAUGAAACAGGGUACAGUACAUACUGUACUUGUUAAAAAGAACAAAGAUACAUUACCCUCUGAUAGAGGUUUCUAAGGGAGUGUUAAUAAUGUAACAAGCGACUUUCACGUUCAUGUUUUUCAUGUUUCGUGUGAAAAGACGGUGGAUAUCAGCCUGUAAACCAGACCAAUCAGCAAGCUCAUGUUUAUUCGCUCUCACCGAUGGGUCCGGCCCCGGCACCAGUCUACUAUAUUCUCUCUGAUAGAUGAACCUCAAGUCUGCUUACAUUUUUCUGUGACUCUCCACACCACAUUUCCUUGCUCUGAUUGGCUGUAGGUCUGUUCUGUUAACGUUGCUAUCGCUCCUUGAAUUUUUAAAAAAUGAACUGAGAAGUUUAAGAUCUUUUCGCAAAUGCCAGGCAUGGUCAUUCAUUGACUCUUGUCCUGAUUAACAACAACACAGAGAGCAAGGAUGAAAUAAAGGAGGGAAGAAUGGAUAGGUAAAGAUAUAGGGAGACAAUUUAAAUCUAUGUUAUAAAAAAUAAAAAUAAAUGAUAAAUGCAAAAUCAUUUUACAUGAGUUUUGUAUUAUUUGAACCUAUUUUUCCAGAUGUG
Long non-coding RNA from Scophthalmus maximus (turbot), 2140 nucleotides. RefSeq lists it as uncharacterized. The record is from RefSeq and is a predicted model, not a curated record. NCBI's taxonomy places the organism in Eukaryota, Metazoa, Chordata, Actinopteri, Pleuronectiformes, Scophthalmidae. The transcript is spliced from 3 exons.